RNAcentral lists this long non-coding RNA (1715 nucleotides) under Felis catus (domestic cat). Its description in RNAcentral is "lncRNA (ENSFCAG00000050595.1)". Lineage: Eukaryota; Metazoa; Chordata; Mammalia; Carnivora; Felidae. The record is from RNAcentral.
AAUAAAAAAAAAUCCAAAAGACAGGAAAACCCAUUUAGGCCAAAAUAGAAUACAUUUCCUUUUAGGUUCAUUGAUUAUGAAUUUCCUAAGAGGUGCAAAUGAAUGCGCCGAUUGGCUGUCAGUUGCACAGACGUCAUAAUCCCAGUCCUGGGCGUCGAUGGGAUGUCCCCUGGGGGAAAAAUGAAGGAAGGAGACCCGAUGAGCAACCAUACCUGAGAGUGCGAAGUGGGGAGCCUGGGCGCACCGACAGUACAGGGCCUGCUUGGGAUUCUCUGUCUUUCCCUCUCUUUCUCCCUCUCAAAAUAAAUAAAUAAAGCUUAAAAAGGGGGGAGGGGCAGAAUAAGCUCAAAGAAAUCUUCGGAAGAGAGUUGAAUCCAAACAGGUGUUGCAGAGAGAGCGGUGCGGCAGAGAGGCUCGGGGGACACUAUCAGAUAAGAGCCCUCCGGCCGGUGGGUCUCUUCGGAGCAAGGUGCGCGCCCGCCAGCGAGGAAGGCACGGUCUCGGCGCACGACAGGCCUCCCGCAGACCCCAGGGCAGGACGAGCCCGGCCAGGAGCGCGGUAGGAAACCUCAGGGCCAACGCGCGGGGACGCUGACUGCAGGAGCCGGGGCGUCUGCGACGGUCCCGGGCGUCUGCCGCCAGGGGGACGGGAGCCCAGGGCCAGCAGAGGCACGUGCUGCUCAGACCGCUCGCGGUGACGACGCCACUGAGGCUUGUUUCGUUUUGUGUACAAACAGCCCUGACGCACUGUCACCGCCCCGGCCACAAAGUGCCGGACGGUGGGUUAGCCGAACACGGCUCCCGCUCUCGUGAACGCAACGGUGGAUGGACGAUCUGGCGGGAGGCCACUCUCCAGCUCUGAGCAGGGAGAGCAGCAUCACGUGCAACACACAGAACUCCUCGCCUCGCCCUCUCCUCUGCCUUUGAGUCUCAGCGCGGAGCCUCACGACCGAAGAUUCUCCUAUCCGGGAGGCUGCCGAGAGACAUGAUUGCCAAAUGGCCUUUUAAACUAAGAAAGCGGAGACAAUCUGCUGCUUCAGACACCUCUUUUAUUUCAGGGGCACGUCUUUAUAUGCCCUACCGCGGGGUGCAUAAGCAGCACUGCUGUUUGUUCCACAACACGGCAAACUUCCUAAGCAGGAAGAGGAUCAAAACUUGCUUCCAUGGGUCACACACAUUUCCAGGUAAGAGGAGGAAUGGCUUUCUUUUUUUUUUUUUAAUUUUUAAUUUUAUUUUAUUCUAGAGGGAGAGAAGGAGCACGAGUCGGGGAGAGGGGUGGAGGGAGAGAGGGAGGGAAGGAAGGAGGGGGAGAGGAAGAGCGAGAAAGAGAGAGAGAGAGAUGAUCUUAAGCAGACUCCACACUGAGUGCAGAGCCCUAUGUGGGGCUCCAUCCCACGACCCUGGGAUCGUGACCGGAACCAAAAUCAAGAGUCAGACACUCAACCGACCGAGCCACCCAAGUGCCCCUGAUUUUUAUUUAGCAAACUUUUCAAACUCUUGCCCAUCCUUUAUACAUGUGGGAUGUGAGUCCCCAAAACUUCAGUUCUGAGGUGUCUUGUUCCCCAAAACUCUGCUCAGUGGCCAGCCAGGGAGUAAUUCUUGUGCAGUAAAUCAAUACUUCUCUCUACACAAAAGGCAGUCAUCAACUUUACAUUUCCUUUGCAACAUGCUCUCUGGGAGUUGAAGGUUACCUGAAAGCAAUUCCCAUUAUCACU